CCUACGGGUGGCAGCAGUGGGGAAUAUUGCGCAAUGGGCGAAAGCCUGACGCAGCGACGCCGCGUGAGGGAUGAAGGUCUUCGGAUCGUAAACCUCUGUCAGCAGGGAAGAACCGUCACUGUGCUAAUCAGCAGUGAAUUGACGGUACCUGCAAAGGAAGCACCGGCUAACUCCUUGCCAGAAGCCGCGGUAAUACGGAGGGUGCGAGCGUUAAUCGGAAUUACUGGGCGUAAAGCGCUCGUAGGCGGUAUGUCAAGUCAAGGGUGAAAUCCCCGCGCUCAACGUGGGAACGGCCUUUGAAACUGGCAAACUGGAGUGUGUGAGAGGAUAGUGGAAUUCCAGGGGUAGGAGUGAAAUGCGUAGAUAUCUGGAGGAACAUCAGUGGCGAAGGCGACUAUCUGGCACAUAACUGACGCUGAGGAGCGAAAGCGUGGGUAGCAAACAGGAUUAGAUACCCUGGUAGUC
This 465-nucleotide ribosomal RNA is filed under the name uncultured bacterium. RNAcentral's name for it is "partial 16S ribosomal RNA". It matches the Rfam family "Bacterial small subunit ribosomal RNA", at positions 338 to 795 of the family's 1533-position model. The record is from RNAcentral.